RNAcentral lists this long non-coding RNA (307 nucleotides) under Ananas comosus (pineapple). Its description in RNAcentral is "long non-coding RNA (ACOM_LNC011780)". The record is from RNAcentral. Lineage: Eukaryota; Viridiplantae; Streptophyta; Magnoliopsida; Poales; Bromeliaceae.
AUUUUAAUUUGACUAUCUAUCUUUUAAAAAGUUUUGAUUUUGCUAUCUAAUAUUUGGAUUUAUUUGAUUUGAAUUAGUUAAUGACUCUUUAACAUCAAAAUUUGAAUGUAUCCUUUAUCUUUAUGGAACUAAUAAGUAUAUUUUAUGUAAUUCAUGCAACUGUACAUUUAUUAAAAUAAUCAAUUAGCUUAAAAUUUCGUACCUAAAGUGUCAUGAAAUAGUUUAAAUGAAACAAAUCAAAAAAUUGUAUACUAAAAUUAAAAUUUUAAAAAUUAGAUAGUCGAAUCAGAAUAAUCUAUAAUUCGAA